RNAcentral lists this ribosomal RNA (494 nucleotides) under uncultured bacterium. RNAcentral describes it as "partial 16S ribosomal RNA". It matches the Rfam family "Bacterial small subunit ribosomal RNA", at positions 29 to 507 of the family's 1533-position model. The record is from RNAcentral.
ACGAACGCUGGCGGCGUGCCUAAUACAUGCCAGUAGAACGCUGAAGGAGGAGCUUGCUUCUCUGGAUGAGUUGCGAACGGGUGAGUAACGCGUAGGUAACCUGCCUGGUAGCGGGGGAUAACUAUUGGAAACGAUAGCUAAUACCGCAUAACAGUAGAUAUCGCAUGAUAUCUACUUGAAAGGUGCAAUUGCAUCACUACCAGAUGGACCUGCGUUGUAUUAGCUAGUUGGUGAGGUAACGGCUCACCAAGGCGACGAUACAUAGCCGACCUGAGAGGGUGAUCGGCCACACUGGGACUGAGACACGGCCCAGACUCCUACGGGAGGCAGCAGUAGGGAAUCUUCGGCAAUGGACGGAAGUCUGACCGAGCAACGCCGCGUGAGUGAAGAAGGUUUUCGGAUCGUAAAGCUCUGUUGUAAGAGAAGAACGAGUGUGAGAGUGGAAAGUUCACACUGUGACGGUAUCUUACCAGAAAGAGACGGCUAACUACGUG